UGAGGAAUAUUGGUCAAUGGGCGGGGAGCCUGAACCAGCCAAGCCGCGUGAGGGAAGAAGGUACAGCGUAUCGUAAACCUCUUUUUGUCAGGGAACAAAGGCGGGGACUAGUCCCCGGAUGAGGGUACCUGAAGAAAAAGCAUCGGCUAACUCCGUGCC
This 159-nucleotide ribosomal RNA is filed under the name uncultured bacterium. RNAcentral describes it as "partial 16S ribosomal RNA". It matches the Rfam family "Bacterial small subunit ribosomal RNA", at positions 355 to 509 of the family's 1533-position model. The record is from RNAcentral.